RNAcentral lists this ribosomal RNA (406 nucleotides) under uncultured bacterium. RNAcentral describes it as "partial 16S ribosomal RNA". It matches the Rfam family "Bacterial small subunit ribosomal RNA", at positions 30 to 526 of the family's 1533-position model. The record is from RNAcentral.
AUUGAACGCUGGCGGCAGGCCUAACACAUGCAAGUCGAACGAGCGGCGGACGGGUGAGUAAUGUCUGGGAAUCUGCCUGAUGGAGGGGGAUAACUACUGGAAACGGUAGCUAAUACCGCAUACCAUCAGAUGCACCCAGAUGGGAUUAGCUGGUUGGUAGGGUAACGGCUCACCAAGGCGACGAUCCCUAGCUGGUCUGAGAGGAUGAUCAGCCACACUGGAACUGAGACACGGCACAGACUCCUACGGGAGGCAGCAGUGGGGAAUAUUGCACGAUGGGCGCAAGCCUGAUGCAGCCAUGCCGCGUGUAUGAAGAAGGCCUUCGGGUUGUAAAGUACUUUCAGCCGGGAGGCGUUACCGACAGAAGAAGCACCGGCUAACUCCGUGCCAGCCGCCGCGGUAAUAC